Ctenocephalides felis (cat flea) is the source of this 73-nucleotide non-coding RNA. The record is from the annotation of a RefSeq genome assembly. NCBI's taxonomy places the organism in Eukaryota, Metazoa, Arthropoda, Insecta, Siphonaptera, Pulicidae.
GGUUUCGUGGUGUAGUGGUUAUCACGUCUGCUUCACACGCAGGAGGCCACCGAUUCGAUCCCGGCCGAAAUCA